This 462-nucleotide long non-coding RNA is filed under the name Betta splendens (Siamese fighting fish). Its description in RNAcentral is "lncRNA (ENSBSLG00000008771.1)". The record is from RNAcentral. Lineage: Eukaryota; Metazoa; Chordata; Actinopteri; Anabantiformes; Osphronemidae.
UUUUACCCCACGUGUCAUUGCCAACUUCUGGAGCCAAACUGGAGCCAAAAAGAGCCAAGCUCCACCUCUCACAACAGGUUACUAAGCCUGGGCAGCAGCAACCGAGGGUUCUACUGCCCAGCACUAGAGCCCCUCAUCCAUGAGUUUUGCUGUCAGGUGCAAGUUGUGAGUACCAGCUUCAUCAUCAGAUUGUUUGGUGAAGUCAUCUCGUGUCACUGCUCCAACAACGUUGCUGAGAAGGAAUAUGUCCUAUCUGCCUUUAAACACAUUGAUGGACAGAUCGAGCUUGGCUUUGACAACGACAAUCCAAAUCAGUGGUACAUGUACCAGUGCUCCCAUCUCUGCAGUUGUGGUUGUAAUAUGGCAUUACCGCACUGGCCAUUCGUGAGUAACACCACAUUUCUCAUUCUAACUAUCCAAAAACCACAUCACAGCAGUUUCCUUCACUUCACUUUUGAAUGA